AGCUUGCCAUUGGCCACGCAGUUGAGGGCCACUCCGCCGGCGAGGCACAGAUACCUCGCGCCCGUGAGUUUUUUGGCUGUGCGCGCCAUGCGGAGAACGAUUUCUUCAGUCACCAUCUGGAUGGAGGCAGCGAGAUCCAUUUCGCGUUCGGUAAUCGCUUGU
Molecule: unclassified non-coding RNA, 162 nt
Filed under: plant metagenome
Description: partial contains 5.8S ribosomal RNA, internal transcribed spacer 2, and large subunit ribosomal RNA
Source: RNAcentral